This 72-nucleotide transfer RNA is filed under the name Methanosphaera stadtmanae. Its description in RNAcentral is "tRNA-Arg". It matches the Rfam family "tRNA". From Rfam's summary of the family: Transfer RNA (tRNA) molecules are approximately 80 nucleotides in length. Their secondary structure includes four short double-helical elements and three loops (D, anti-codon, and T loops). Lineage: Archaea; Methanobacteriati; Methanobacteriota; Methanobacteria; Methanobacteriales; Methanobacteriaceae. RNAcentral also lists the same sequence under 4 other names. The record is from RNAcentral.
GCCUUGAUAGUGUAGCGGAUAUCACGAGGGACUGCGGAUCCCUUUACCCGAGUUCAAAUCUCGGUCAGGGCG